UACGUAGGGGGCUAGCGUUGUCCGGAAUCAUUGGGCGUAAAGAGCGUGUAGGCGGUCCGGUAAGUCCGCUGUGAAAGUCGGGGGCUCAACCCUCGAAUGCCGGUGGAUACUGUCGGGCUAGAGUGCGGAAGAGGCGAGUGGAAUUCCUGGUGUAGCGGUGAAAUGCGCAGAUAUCAGGAGGAACACCUAUUGCGAAGGCAGCUCGCUGGGACGUAACUGACGCUGAGGCGCGAAAGCUAGGGGAGCGAACAGG
Molecule: ribosomal RNA, 253 nt
Filed under: uncultured bacterium
Lineage: Bacteria
Description: partial 16S ribosomal RNA
Rfam family: Bacterial small subunit ribosomal RNA
Source: RNAcentral